UUUAAAUAAAUAUUUUCUAAUUUAUUUAAAUUCUAGCCUUUUGUCCAAUUUAUAGCAAUCUUAGCCUGACUCCACAUAAUUUAUUACAGUUCUAGCCUAAUUUGUGUCUAUUUGAACUCAAUUGUAAUUUUUUAUUCAAUUCGGACCAGAUUCUUAAUUUUUAAAUCUCAGCCGUUGAUCAGAAGUGAUCUAACGGCUGAGAUCAAGCUCUUGCCUCCUUUCCUUUUAUACACAAAGAAAGGAACCGUAAUUCAUUUUCCAACAGCCACACUUUCUCUCCCUCUCUCUCUACAAUCUCUCUCUCUCUCUCUAAGACCUUCUCUCCAUCUAUAAAUGGCUGCAACUGCCAGUCAGCCUCCACGGCUCGCCUCUCACCGUCCACCCUCCAGACCUCUUUUCUCUCUCUCCUUCACCGGCAAACCCCGCUGGAUUAGCCAAUGAAGCUACCGCAAAAUUGGCGCCCGUAACCCGCCGCCGCCGCUGCUUCGGUCGAACCAACAGCCCUCCCCGUUGCAGCCGCUACUCCGGUCGAACCAACAGCCCUCCCCAUCUCUAGCCGCCACAAAAGCAACGACGACUAACCAAACAGCCCCUCCGGCGUCUAUCUCAACAGCCACCAGCCUCCUCCUCCGCACGGUCAGCCAAUCAGCACUGCGACCACCAUGGCUGGUGAACCAGCCGUCAUUGCAUUCCGUCGCCGCAACUCCAGCCGGCCGGACCAAUCGGAGAAGGCUCCACUUCUCCAUCGCCGAUCAAGCAGCCACGAGUUUAUUCUAUUUUGCUCACCGGAGGUGAUGACCGGUGAGGUAUUGAUUGGUAACCUCUCCGAUAUUGGCUGAUUUUAGGAAUCAUCAUAGGUUCUGCCUUGAUUGAUGUUUGUGAUUUAGAUUUAUUGACAUGUUUAGGUUCUCAUAUAGUUGGUGACCCUUACUUUUGUCCUCGAAAUUUAAAAUAAGUGGCCGGUUGUUUUUCAAUUCUUAAAUCAUUAUUCUUGUUUACGAAUUGUGUCCUUUUUGAUUUGCUUAACAUUGAUGGAAAAUUUGUUUCAUAACUUACAAUUAUACACUUAGCGUUUGUAACAAAAAUAGUUGAUUUCAUUUUUUCAUUCUUGACUGAAUAUUUUGAAACUGAUUGAGUAUGCAAUUUUGAUGAUUUGAAUUGAUUUAUGCAUAAUGGAGUUACUGUGAUUAAGGAAUCUCUUUCCUGAUUAAUUGCUUUUUACAUUUUAAAUGACCAGCUGUAUUCCUUAUAAUUUUUUCAUAUCUAUUUGAGGCAAGUUAGACAAAUUUUCAUUUCCUAAUUGAUUAUUGAUUGAUUCUGAAAUAUUUUUCCCUUUAUUUUUUCCUUGAUUGAUUUGGUUGGUUUAUUUAUUUAAGGAAUACAUAUAUAUAUGUUUAUUUUUCCUUUUAUUCUCAUGGGCUGAAUUUUACAUAAUUGAUUAUAUCAUUUGUUUAAGAAAAAUAAUCUCCUUUAUUGACUUAUCAAAUAUUCCCUUUCAUUUAAUCAUACACCAUUCUAUGCCUAUAAAAACAACCCCUCCUCAUUUUGGAGAAACAAGUUACAACACACAACAUACAUUUUCUCUUACUAAAAUCUUAAAAUAAAGAAGCGGUAAUUUUAUUUUAUUAUUCUUGGCACUCGUUUCUGGAGCAUUAAUAUUGACCUAUCGGUGGCAAUUAAUUCUCGGAUCUCUGGCUGUUUAUUUUUUUGUUAUUAUUAUUAUCUGUUAUCAUCAACAAUCAGUCCCUGACAACGUAAUUUUCUUUUAUACCUUAUAUGAUGAUGCUAGUAAACAUGCUUAUAGGAAUCAUUUGGUGUUUUCUUGCUAUGUUUAUGUCAUGUUAUAUUCCCACUUGUAUUGCUAUUAUGUAUUGUCUCACAGGUAUAAAUAGACAGUCUCGGGUAUUUGAAGAGUCGCCGAAAAGUUUAUGGGGGAGGGCUGCACCUUUUCUUUCUUUGUUCAUUUAUUUAUUUUUGAUUCAUGGUGUUGUAAUAACUCUGUAUAAACACUAUUAUUUUGUAAUAAUAAAAUUUGGGGAUUGCUUCGGGGGGCAGGGACUUACGUGCUCUAUGAAUAGUGUAGAUAGGCACAACUUAGAUUUUACGUGUGUUAUGUGCUACGUGGAUCAAGUUAGGCACACAAAUCUAGGAUUUAUUAAUACAUUAAUCACUUAGACAUUUAAUCUACUUAUUAAUUCGAUUAGAAAUCUUGAUUUUAGGAUUAAACUGACAUCUGCAAUGCUAAAUUAAAUUCAUGCAUAUUAAUACAUUUUUAGCAUGUUAAGCAUUUGAAUUAAGUAUGCCACUGUAUGUUUAGCAUGUUAGCAAGAAUUUAAGCAUAUUGGUAUUUUUGAGCAUGUCAGCAAUUAAAUUUCACAUAUUAAUACAUUUUAUCAUUUUUAGCAUGUUAAACAUUAAAAUUAAUUAUGUUGUCUAGCAUGUUAACACAAAUCUAAGCAUGUUAAUAUUUUAGAGCAUGUUAACAUAAAAUUCCUGCAAAUUAAUAUAUUUUAUAACGUGUUAAAAUCGUGUUUCUGCAUAAAACAAUUAAAAUCCGGCAUGUUAAAACUGCAUUUUUGCAUAAAAUAAUUAAUUAACAGCAUGUUUAAAAAUUAAUUAAAGCAAUUUCAAUAUAUUAAAUAGUGGAUUAAGUAUGUCAUUGUAAUUUUUGGCCUAUUAAUGCAAUUUCUGCAUGUUAUCAUGAAAUUACAGCGCAUUAGCAUAAUUUUCAGCAUGUUAAAAUAUCAAAAAAAAAUAAUUAUUUAUCUUUGCAUAUUUAUCAUAUUAAUCAACUCUUUAAUUACCAAGGGGCUAACGUGAUACAUUACUUGCUACUUGACGUCCAAUGUGUUACGCGUUUUGAGUCCUAAGCAACAUAACUUUAUUUUGGCUAGACUAUAAAUUCAAAAUAGAAAAGUCCAAUGCCUCUUGGACGAUAGGCGAGACGAUAGAAAUUACUAAAAAUGUUAGUUUUAUCCUUGUACUAGAACGCCUUUAGAUUUGACAUCCAGCCUAGGAGGGGUGGGACGGGUAGUCAUUCGAAAGUGAUGAUCUCCAACCGACAUUAAAGGUAAGACAUAUGACUUGUUUAUGAGUUCGGCCAGUAGGUCGGAUGAUGAUUAAACAAGUUAGGGUUCUUAUCCGAAUGAGACCAAGACAUUUCUUUGUUUGAUUUGACAAAUUCUUUUUAUUUGCUUAUUUACCUUACAUGCUUAUUUAUUUGGGCUAAUUAGUUUGUUAUAUAAGCAAUCCUCUUUUGUUAUAAAUUAUGUCAUUUCUUUCUCCUCGCUUAUCUUAUUUUAUGUUUUUAUCACUUAGAUAAUUAACAAUUAGAAAUAAUAAAAUAAUAUGUUUGGUUCAUUAAUUGUUUUAUCACUUAGUUAAACAUUAAGUUAAUAAUAAACAAAAGACUUUGAUCACAUAGAAUCCCCGCGUAAAAUACAAAUUUGGCCGGGAACUACCUUUUUGGACCUCACAAGGUGCCUAACACUUUCCUUUUGAGGUAAUUUGAACUCUUAUCAGAAUUUUUAGUGAACUAAGAUAAAACAAAAAAAAUAUGUUCGUAGUAGCCUAGAACGUUGCUCUAACGCAUCUUAAUUCGUUAGGUGGUGACUCUUCAUACUCUACCCUUAAAAUAAUUUCAAAAAGAGUGGUCACGUCGAAUUCUGCAAAGAAAAUAGGGCGCGAUAAAGAGUCGAGUGAGGCCCUGUUGAGCUUCCUGUCUAUGGCUCUGUCAUUACAUCAAAAUGAGAAUUGCAAGUUAAAAACAUAAAGAAAACUACAAAAGUCCUAUCUAUGCAGCUUUCCUUGACUUUGACUUAUUAUUUCAUCACCCUAUUCUUUAGGCGGUUCCUAACAUGCAAUUUCUUUACCCCGUUCUCCAGGCGGGCUCCUGACUUGCAAUUUCUUCAACUUGUUGCUUUGUUUUUAAUUUCUUCACCCUAUUCUUUGUGCGGUCUCCUGAGUUGCUAUUUUUCAAUCUGUUGACUUUCAAUUUCUUUACCUUAUUGCUUGACUUUCAACUUUUUUCCUUGUUGCUUGACUUUCAUUUAUUCACCCUGUUCUUUGAGCGGGCUCCUGAAAUCACAUCAAAACUAGAAAGAAAAUUAUCCUAAACAAAUGUUAUUAUAAAGAGAGAUUCCAUUUGUCAGAAAAGUAAAGUUCCUAAAACAGAAAUUAAAUUUUUGCCCUAGUUUAUCAUCAAAAAACUUUUGCGAAUGUCAAAUCCAAUCAUAACUACUUGCAUGUUGCAAUGAUAAAUCAAGACUCUGACCAGAAAAUGCAUCUUUUGAGAUUAAAAUUAAAUGACCAAGACUAGGAAGUGCA
This 4326-nucleotide long non-coding RNA is filed under the name Capsicum annuum. RNAcentral's name for it is "long non-coding RNA (CANN_LNC009613)". Lineage: Eukaryota; Viridiplantae; Streptophyta; Magnoliopsida; Solanales; Solanaceae. The record is from RNAcentral.